Molecule: ribosomal RNA, 1512 nt
Filed under: Clostridium botulinum A2 str. Kyoto
Lineage: Bacteria; Bacillati; Bacillota; Clostridia; Eubacteriales; Clostridiaceae
Description: 16S ribosomal RNA
Rfam family: Bacterial small subunit ribosomal RNA
Source: RNAcentral
UAAAUUUAGAGUUUGAUCCUGGCUCAGGACGAACGCUGGCGGCGUGCUUAACACAUGCAAGUCGAGCGAUGAAGCUUCCUUCGGGAAGUGGAUUAGCGGCGGACGGGUGAGUAACACGUGGGUAACCUGCCUCAAAGUGGGGGAUAGCCUUCCGAAAGGAAGAUUAAUACCGCAUAAUAUAAGAGAAUCGCAUGAUUUUCUUAUCAAAGAUUUAUUGCUUUGAGAUGGACCCGCGGCGCAUUAGCUAGUUGGUGAGGUAACGGCUUACCAAGGCAACGAUGCGUAGCCGACCUGAGAGGGUGAUCGGCCACAUUGGAACUGAGACACGGUCCAGACUCCUACGGGAGGCAGCAGUGGGGAAUAUUGCGCAAUGGGGGAAACCCUGACGCAGCAACGCCGCGUGGGUGAUGAAGGUCUUCGGAUUGUAAAGCCCUGUUUUCUAGGACGAUAAUGACGGUACUAGAGGAGGAAGCCACGGCUAACUACGUGCCAGCAGCCGCGGUAAUACGUAGGUGGCGAGCGUUGUCCGGAUUUACUGGGCGUAAAGGGUGCGUAGGCGGAUGUUUAAGUGGGAUGUGAAAUCCCCGGGCUUAACCUGGGGGCUGCAUUCCAAACUGGAUAUCUAGAGUGCAGGAGAGGAAAGCGGAAUUCCUAGUGUAGCGGUGAAAUGCGUAGAGAUUAGGAAGAACACCAGUGGCGAAGGCGGCUUUCUGGACUGUAACUGACGCUGAGGCACGAAAGCGUGGGUAGCAAACAGGAUUAGAUACCCUGGUAGUCCACGCCGUAAACGAUGGAUACUAGGUGUAGGGGGUAUCAACUCCCCCUGUGCCGCAGUUAACACAAUAAGUAUCCCGCCUGGGGAGUACGGUCGCAAGAUUAAAACUCAAAGGAAUUGACGGGGGCCCGCACAAGCAGCGGAGCAUGUGGUUUAAUUCGAAGCAACGCGAAGAACCUUACCUGGACUUGACAUCCCUUGCAUAGCCUAGAGAUAGGUGAAGCCCUUCGGGGCAAGGAGACAGGUGGUGCAUGGUUGUCGUCAGCUCGUGUCGUGAGAUGUUAGGUUAAGUCCUGCAACGAGCGCAACCCUUGUUAUUAGUUGCUACCAUUAAGUUGAGCACUCUAAUGAGACUGCCUGGGUAACCAGGAGGAAGGUGGGGAUGACGUCAAAUCAUCAUGCCCCUUAUGUCCAGGGCUACACACGUGCUACAAUGGUAGGUACAAUAAGACGCAAGACCGUGAGGUGGAGCAAAACUUAUAAAACCUAUCUCAGUUCGGAUUGUAGGCUGCAACUCGCCUACAUGAAGCUGGAGUUGCUAGUAAUCGCGAAUCAGAAUGUCGCGGUGAAUACGUUCCCGGGCCUUGUACACACCGCCCGUCACACCAUGAGAGCUGGUAACACCCGAAGUCCGUGAGGUAACCGUAAGGAGCCAGCGGCCGAAGGUGGGAUUAGUGAUUGGGGUGAAGUCGUAACAAGGUAGCCGUAGGAGAACCUGCGGCUGGAUCACCUCCUUU